Molecule: small nuclear RNA, 98 nt
Filed under: Lynx canadensis (Canada lynx)
Lineage: Eukaryota; Metazoa; Chordata; Mammalia; Carnivora; Felidae
Also listed under: 1 other name
Description: U2 spliceosomal RNA (ENSLCNG00005004702.1)
Rfam family: U2 spliceosomal RNA
About the family: U2 is a small nuclear RNA (snRNA) component of the spliceosome (involved in pre-mRNA splicing).
Source: Rfam by way of RNAcentral
AUCGCUUCUUGGCCUUCUGGCUAAGAUCAAGUGUAGUAUCUGAAAUCAUUAUUAUACACUAUAUGUUAACUUGGAUUUAAAUAAAAUUAAAAAUUUUU